CCCAGUUGCCUUGGUAACCGUGUACGCGGGCUCGGCGCCGCGUUCUCGGAAAUCCUCGCGAGCAGUACAUUCUCCGGCUGCUGCGGGUCUCUCAGGGCCAGCGAAGGUCAGGGGUACCCGAAGGCGCUUCUAACCUAACGGCUGGGUACCCGCGCGCAGCCAGGCCCUUUGUUCCUCAGAGGGUGCGAGGUGGCACAGCCCCGCAGCGCCCGAUCUGCCCACGCAGGGCGGAUGAACGGAAACCCACCCUGGCCUAGCUUGGGGACACCAAUGCUUCUGCUGUUGCCCACGCCGGGAGCGGCCCCCAGCCCCAGCUACGCUGCCCAGUUGUGGAUCACUUGAGACCGCUGCCACCACCACGCCGGGCUGAGUUCCCCGCCAUGCCGAAGACUCAGACCCGCUCCCCUUCCCCUCCUCUGCAUGCCUUUAGCUUCCCACCAAGCUGGGCCUGAGAAACAAGGGACCCGAACCUGGAGAGGCCGGUGUUCCUGGACUGCUCUGCAGUCACAGAUUGUCACGGAGCCCCUGGUUGUCUGAGGACCCCAGGCCUGAACCUUCCUUGAGGAAGACUGAUUUCUUUCAGACUACUUUGCUCAGUUUGAUUUUAAACAGAAGGCUAAUAAUUAUCCAGAAGAGACAGGAUGAGGCUUGGACAAAGGAGGUGGAGGGUAUCAAAAGAUAUUUAGAAGAUAAAGGAAGUCUGGACUUGGUGCUGUGGGUAUACCCUCCCUCAUGGCACACACCAGGUUAUUUUGAAGCAAAUCCUAGACGUCAUCAAACAGUUCAAAUUGCCCAAGUGUCUCCUACACACUUCUUUUUUCUUUUACAGUUUGUUUGAAUCUGGGUCCAAAUAAAGUCCACACAUUGCACCUGGUUGUCAUGUCUCGCUCAUCUUGGGUCCUGCCUCCUCUCUACCCCCUCACCUCCUUUCUCCUUCUUUUCUUUUCUUGCAAUUUAUCAGUUGAAGGCAUUGAGCCAUUUCUGGGCCUUAUUCUUGUGAUGUGAUUUAACAUGUUCCUCCAUGCCCUGCAUGUCCUGUAAACUGGUUCUUAGAUCCAGUGGUUGGUUAGUCUCACGUUCAGUUUUCUGGUAAAAACACAUCAUGAGUGACGGUUUGUUCUCCUGAUUCCAUUGCAUCAGGACGCCUGCUUUUCCCUGUUUUUCUAGUGUUUAGGCUGAGCAUUGGGUUCAGGUGUAGUCAGACUAGGCAACAAUUAUAAAAUUCCCCGUCCGUUUUUCACCUAAUGGUUUAGUUGAUCAUCACUGCCUAGCUCUAUUAUUUCAUUAGGAGUUGCAAAAUUGGGAUGUCCUAAUUCUGUCAUUCUGCAGUAAGAACUUGCCAUCAUCAAUUUGUUUACCAUGAGAUACAGGUCAUACAGGAAAGGCAGGAUAAAUGUGUGGGUUUUUUCUUAUGAUUUACCAGUUUUCAGAAAAAUGAGUUGGUUCUCUAGCAUCUUGAAAAAGUAAUUAGUUGUUUUUAAUAUCAUUAUGAACUUGUACAUUUUAACAUCUUUUGUGUAUUUCAAUCCAUUGCAGUUAUUCUUUUUGAUGUUCAAAUUGUCCCAAUUUUGGUCGGUGGGAGCUUCUUCUGGUUGGUGCCUAAGCUUGCUUUCUUUCUUUUUUUUUGAGACGGAGUUUCGCUCUUGUUGCCCAGGCUGGAGUGCAAUGGCGCGAUCUCGGCUCACCGCAACCUCCGCCUCCCGAGUUCAAGAGAUUCUCCUGCCUCAGCCUCCCGAGUAGCUGGAAUUACAGGCAUGCGCCACCACACCCGGCUAAUUUUGUAUGUUUAGUAGAAACAGGGUUUCUACAUGUUGGUCAGGCUGGUCUAGAACUCCCGACGUCAGGUGAUCCACCCGCCUCGGCCUCCCAAAGUGCUGGGAUUACAGGCGUGAGCCACCAUGCCCGGCUCCGUCUCCUCCUCCUCCUCCUCUUCUUCCAGACAGAGCCAGACUCCAUCUCAAAAAAAAAAAAAAAAAAAAGAAAAAGACGAUUAUCUGACUAUUCGGGUGGCAGGGAGAUUAGAGAGGAGCCUGCUACAACAAUCCAGCAAGAGAGGCUGAGGGGUUGUCAGUGGGAUGGGGAAGGAUGGUUGACAGGGGGAUUAUUGAGGAAAUGGAAUUGACAGGAUGUGGUGACUGGAAGUAAGACGGUAGGGGGAGGGAAGAAUCAAG
RNAcentral lists this long non-coding RNA (2171 nucleotides) under Homo sapiens (human). RNAcentral's name for it is "HSALNT0236853". The record is from RNAcentral. Lineage: Eukaryota; Metazoa; Chordata; Mammalia; Primates; Hominidae.